AAGAUUUUUUUUUUUGGCCUCUUGGAUCUCUAAAGAGCAUGAGGUCUGUCUCAUAGGCAAGGAUCUGCUGGCAGUUGGCUACUGAUAGUUUGGGCUGCUAUAGAAAACUGAAGGAGAGAGUGGUAGCUGUCUAUUAUUUUAGGGAGUUAGGGAGUUAGUGAAUCAUUUAUAGAUAGUGUAGGUUAGAUAGGCCUGUGUUUGCCAGGCAAGAAGAAGCUAUCCUCAGACGACAGAGAUCUUUUACAAGAGGCUCUGCAGCAUUCCAGAAAUUUAAAUAGCUAGUACAACAUAUGCAUAAACAGGAGCAUCUGGAAUACCAUAUCAUAUACAAAGAAUAAAACGAUCAUACUUCAUCUUGAACACUACAUUGAAUCUCUUCUAAAUUUGCCAUUGCUGAAUUAUUUAUCACCUUGUGACCAUCUUAUUGGUGAAGAGGUUCUUGAAUCAAAUAUCCAUACGUAAUACCUUAUAUGUCAAAUGGAAUGCUGACCAUUUUUUACAAUAAUUCUUAAAGGGAAGAAAAUAACACCACUGAAUAAUCUAUAGAGAUUGCAUGUUGCCGUGGAUAAAGGACUGAAUUUGGAGAUAGAAGACCUGGAUUCCACUCCUGACAGAUAUUUAAUACUCAUGUAACUUAUAAAAUGCUUCUCUCUUUGGGACUUUGUUUUCUUUCGUGUGUGUG
Molecule: long non-coding RNA, 682 nt
Filed under: Monodelphis domestica (gray short-tailed opossum)
Lineage: Eukaryota; Metazoa; Chordata; Mammalia; Didelphimorphia; Didelphidae
Description: lncRNA (ENSMODG00000049454.1)
Source: RNAcentral